Molecule: ribosomal RNA, 468 nt
Filed under: uncultured bacterium
Lineage: Bacteria
Description: partial 16S ribosomal RNA
Rfam family: Bacterial small subunit ribosomal RNA
Source: RNAcentral
GACGAACGCUGGCGGCGUGCCUAACACAUGCAAGUCGAACGGAAAGGCCCUGCUUUUGCUGGUUGCUCGAGUGGCGAACGGGUGAGUAACACGCGAGUAACCUGUCCCUGUCUUUCGGAUAACUUUAGGAAACUGCGGCUAUUAUCGGAUAGGAGCUCCUGCUCCACGGUGGGGGUUGGAGAGUUUCGGCGGUUGGGGCUGGACUCGCUGCUUAUCAGCUUGUUGGUGGGGUAGUUGCUUACCAAGGCUUAGACGGGUAGCCGGCCUGAGAGGGUGACCGGCCACAAGGGGACUGAGGGACGGCGCAGAAUCGAACGGGAGGCAGCGGGGGGGAGUAUUGCGGAGUGGGCGGAAGCCUGAUACAGAGGCGCCGCGUGCGGAAUGACGGCCUACGAGUUGUAAACCGCUUUCGCCUGUGACGAAGCGUGAGUGACGGUAAUGGGUAAAGAAGCACCGGCUAACUACGUG